CCUUGAUGACGACUGGCGCACGGGUGAGUAACGCGUAUCCAACCUUCCCAUAACUACGGGAUAACCCGUUGAAAGACGGCCUAAUACCGUAUGACAUCGUUUGCUGACAUCAAAUAACGAUUAAAGGUUUAGCGGUUAUGGAUGGGGAUGCGUCUGAUUAGCUUGUUGGCGGGGUAACGGCCCACCAAGGCUACGAUCAGUAGGGGUUCUGAGAGGAAGGUCCCCCACAUUGGAACUGAGACACGGUCCAAACUCCUACGGGAGGCAGCAGUG
RNAcentral lists this ribosomal RNA (273 nucleotides) under uncultured Prevotella sp. Its description in RNAcentral is "partial 16S ribosomal RNA". It matches the Rfam family "Bacterial small subunit ribosomal RNA", at positions 83 to 356 of the family's 1533-position model. The record is from RNAcentral. Lineage: Bacteria; Pseudomonadati; Bacteroidota; Bacteroidia; Bacteroidales; Prevotellaceae.